This 409-nucleotide ribosomal RNA is filed under the name uncultured bacterium. RNAcentral's name for it is "bacterial SSU rRNA". It matches the Rfam family "Bacterial small subunit ribosomal RNA", at positions 507 to 916 of the family's 1533-position model. The record is from RNAcentral.
GCCAGCAGCCGCGGUAAUACGUAGGGUGCAAGCGUUAAUCGGAAUUACUGGGCGUAAAGCGUGCGCAGGCGGCUUUGCAAGACAGAUGUGAAAUCCCCGGGCUCAACCUGGGAACUGCAUUUGUGACUGCAUGGCUGGAGUGCGGCAGAGGGGGAUGGAAUUCCGCGUGUAGCAGUGAAAUGCGUAGAUAUGCGGAGGAACACCGAUAGCGAAGGCAAUCCCCUGGGCCUGCACUGACGCUCAUGCACGAAAGCGUGGGGAGCAAACAGGAUUAGAUACCCUGGUAGUCCACGCCCUAAACGAUGUCGACUGGUUGUUGGACGGCUUGCUGUUCAGUAACGAAGCUAACGCGUGAAGUUGACCGCCUGGGGAGUACGGCCGCAAGGUUGAAACUCAAAUGAAUUGACGG